This 510-nucleotide ribosomal RNA is filed under the name uncultured Staphylococcus sp. RNAcentral's name for it is "bacterial SSU rRNA". It matches the Rfam family "Bacterial small subunit ribosomal RNA", at positions 165 to 662 of the family's 1533-position model. The record is from RNAcentral. Lineage: Bacteria; Bacillati; Bacillota; Bacilli; Caryophanales; Staphylococcaceae.
AAUACCGGAUAAUAUUUUGAACCGCAUGGUUCAAAAGUGAAAGACGGUCUUGCUGUCACUUAUAGAUGGAUCCGCGCUGCAUUAGCUAGUUGGUAAGGUAACGGCUUACCAAGGCAACGAUGCAUAGCCGACCUGAGAGGGUGAUCGGCCACACUGGAACUGAGACACGGUCCAGACUCCUACGGGAGGCAGCAGUAGGGAAUCUUCCGCAAUGGGCGAAAGCCUGACGGAGCAACGCCGCGUGAGUGAUGAAGGUCUUCGGAUCGUAAAACUCUGUUAUUAGGGAAGAACAUAUGUGUAAGUAACUGUGCACAUCUUGACGGUACCUAAUCAGAAAGCCACGGCUAACUACGUGCCAGCAGCCGCGGUAAUACGUAGGUGGCAAGCGUCAUCCGGAAUUAUUGGGCGUAAAGCGCGCGUAGGCGGUUUUUUAAGUCUGAUGUGAAAGCCCACGGCUCAACCGUGGAGGGUCAUUGGAAACUGGAAAACUUGAGUGCAGAAGAGGAAAGU